GCUUAGAGUUUGAUCCUGGCUCAGGAUGAACGCUGGCGGUAUGCUUAACACAUGCAAGUCGAACGGAGUACAUUGUACUUAGUGGCGGACGGGUGAGUAACGCGUGAGAAUCUGCCUUCAGGAUGGGGAUAACAGUGGGAAACCAAUGCUAAUACCCAAUGAGCCGAGAGGUAAAAAAUUUAUUGCCUGAAGAGGAGCUCGCGUCCGAUUAGUUAGUUGGUGGGGUAAAGGCCUACCAAGGCAGCGAUCGGUAACUGGUCUGAGAGGACGAUCGGUCACACUGGGACUGAGACACGGCCCAGACUCCUACGGGAGGCAGCAGUGGGGAAUUUUCCGCAAUGGGCGCAAGCCUGACGGAGCAAUACCGCGUGAGGGAGGAAGGCCUUUGGGUUGUAAACCUCUUUUCUUAAGGAAGAAGCUCUGACGGUACUUAAGGAAUCAGCAUCGGCUAACUCCGUGCCAGCAGCCGCGGUAAUACGGAGGAUGCAAGCGUUAUCCGGAAUUAUUGGGCGUAAAGCGUCCGUAGGCGGCAUUAUAAGUCUGCUGUCAAAGACCGCAGCUCAACUGCGGAGAGGCAGUGGAAACUGUAAAGCUAGAGUCUGGUAGGGGUAGAGGGAAUUCCCAGUGUAGCGGUGAAAUGCGUAGAGAUUGGGAAGAACACCAGUGGCGAAAGCGCUCUGCUGGGCCAGAACUGACGCUGAGGGACGAAAGCUAGGGGAGCGAAAGGGAUUAGAUACCCCUGUAGUC
Molecule: ribosomal RNA, 747 nt
Filed under: uncultured cyanobacterium
Lineage: Bacteria; Bacillati; Cyanobacteriota
Description: bacterial SSU rRNA
Rfam family: Bacterial small subunit ribosomal RNA
Source: RNAcentral